Molecule: long non-coding RNA, 589 nt
Organism: Nothoprocta perdicaria
Lineage: Eukaryota; Metazoa; Chordata; Aves; Tinamiformes; Tinamidae
Exons: 2
Source: RefSeq, a predicted model, not a curated record
AGCACUAAGGUCUGCAGAAGAUGCUGAGCUGGCAGGAACUCCAUUUUGUGUCCCUAUACAGGUGAAGCCUAUGCAUGAUAUCAAAGCCAUCAAGAUGCUUUGGAAGAUGGGGAGGAUGAGGAGCAGAACUGAACUAUUUUUUUGCUGUACUUGCUGACUUCAUUUUUAGAAUCAGAAAGAUUUUGGUUGGAAGGAUCUUUGGGAGGUCUUCUGAGCAUAGCCAGCUCCCAAGCUGCUCAGGCUGAGUUUUGAUAAUCUUCCUAAUUUCCAAGAUGGAGAUGCCACAUAAUCUUUGUUGUCUCCCUGCCUUCCUUCCCUCCUUGUUUAAUUUCCAAGCUGUUUGCUAUAAACUGAGGUUAGGGGUAGUCUAAUCAAUCCGUUCUAGUAGAGUUAAGUAGGGCAGAACCAAGAUUCAAGAUUAAACAAACUACUCCCUCUCCCCACGUCCAAGAUAUUGGGUCCCUGUGCAAGGGUUGUUCUGCGUUUUAGUUCAAAAUGGUUUUGCUGGGCUGUUUUGGGUCUGUGAUUGCAUGCUAGGCUGUAGUUGGGAAUGUGCCAGCUCAUGCCUCUCAGCAUGGAAGAGCUCUCA